Molecule: long non-coding RNA, 1756 nt
Organism: Lynx canadensis (Canada lynx)
Lineage: Eukaryota; Metazoa; Chordata; Mammalia; Carnivora; Felidae
Exons: 5
Source: RefSeq, a predicted model, not a curated record
AAAAGAUUACCAACAAUUCUAGUGGUAUCAGUGCUGGUUCCUUCCCUAACUGACAAUUUUGUUUCCUUUUCAGAGGUUACUGCUCUGAGGACCAGAUGCCAGGCCAAAGACUCAAGCUGUUGGUACACAUUUGCUCUAGGCACAGGGCAGUGACCACAUCUGUGGACACUUGCUUUUUACCACCCACCAUCAUGAUCCUGCUCUGAGACCAUCUAGGCCCAGUUCUCUGCACGGGAGAUGUGAACAGGGCAUGCGCACAACCGUCACAAUCUGCCCUGCUGUGGCGCACAAAUCCACGUCCACACUUUUGUCCUACAUGCUUUCCAUGGGCCGCUUUUUCUGAAGAGUUCUAAUAUUAUCCAAUGGGGUACAUGUCAAAAGAAACAGGCAUAUUAUUGGAACAAAAUUGCAAGGGUCCAUCACUUCCCGCAUGAAGCAUGUGUACGCUUCUUUUUUGGCAAGGUGCUAGCCUUGAAAAUACCAAUGGAGUUAUAAGGGGAGAUGAGAAAGAAGACACCAGAGGAUUGGACUCAGCCAGUUUCCUUGCUUUGACUAAUGGGACAUCAGCAAAUGUGUCACAAAGAAUGGCUUGAAAGAAGGUGCACAUUGUCUGAAAUCCUGGAUACCACGUGUUCCAGAUCAUAUAGCAUACAAGAUGGAGAAAGACUGACCUCAUUGCACUGGACUAUGAUAUGAGUGAACGGCACUUUUAUUGUGUUAAGCUACUGUGAUCUCAGGGAUAUUUUUGUCACAUCAACACAGCUCACAAAAUAAUCUUUCCCCAAAUGAAAAUCCAUCCUCUCAUCGCAUUGAGUUUUCAGUAUAGAGCAAAAAACUCAUCAAGAAAUUCUCCUUUGUGUAUGAAUCUCAUGUUUAUCACAAGCUGACUUACAGGUUGUGUGUCAAUGAUUUCAUCCCACUGCAAACUGAAAUGUCAUCUAAUAAGUUCAGAUGAUAGUAACUGCCUUUUAACAAUUUAUAGCAAUGAUGUGGUGCAAAAUUCAGCAGCAUCCCUUGCUUGAUCAAGAUAUCCUGCUGGUAGCUCAUGUAGCUUUCUUUUCUCACCUCAAGUUUCCAUAGCAUCUCUCAGCUUCCCUGCCCCAGGGUUUUCUCCAGAGCCCCAGGAUCUUGUUCUGCCCACUCACAGCCAAAGCCCAGAAAUGCAGGGGAGUUGAUGCCCCCCUGGAGCAAGUCAGCUGCAGGAUGAUGAGUCUGUGGAUGAAAGUCUAAAACUCUUAUCACUUUGAAGGAAAAUUUUGAGGUGUAUUCUAUAUAGUUCAUUAGAUGACGCCCCAGGAGAACAGAGUUCUUCUUUCCAGAAUAAUAGCCAGAUCAACGACAUACUCUUUGUUGGUUUUCCUUCAAAACCUCCUAACCUCAAUCUUUCUGCUUCCAUGGUCUGGCUUCCUGGGAUCAUCCCCAAAUAUAUGACCUGUUUUGGGGGAAACCAACUAAUUCAGUAUUUCUGUUGUAUUGCUGCCUUUUGUGAAUUUGUUCUACAUGAGCGAUCAAUUUGAUUCCCAGUUGAUUAGAAAAGAAUUACAUAUUGUUUGAAAGUGGUGCAAAAGCAGACAACACACUAGUUACUGAGGUGGCACUAGUGAACAGAUUUCUGAUUCAAUAAAAUCCACUUUUAAGAUCAUAGGACACAUAGAUUUAUAUUCUAUAUUUGUAAUGGAGCUCUAAUCAGUCUUUAUUAAUAUAUUUUUUUAACAUUUAUUUGAGAGAGGGAGAGAGAUACAAUGCAUGAGGGGCA